Molecule: ribosomal RNA, 269 nt
Filed under: uncultured prokaryote
Description: partial 16S ribosomal RNA
Rfam family: Bacterial small subunit ribosomal RNA
Source: RNAcentral
GACGGAGGGGACAAGCGUUAUCCAGAAUGACUGGGUGUAAAGGGCAUGUAGAUGGUCUGAUUUGUCGGAUAUAAAAUGCCCCGGCUUAACCGGGGAAGGCUAUCCGAAACGGUCAGGCUAGAGUUUGGGAGAGGAAAGCGGAACUCCCGGUGUAGCGGUGAAAUGCGUAGAUACCGGGAGGAACACCGGUGGCGAAGGCGGCUUUCUAUCUCAAAACUGACAUCGAAAUGCGAAAGCUAGGGGAGCAAACAGGAUUAGAUACCCCGGUA